This 63-nucleotide transfer RNA is filed under the name Austropallene bucera. RNAcentral's name for it is "tRNA-Ile". The record is from RNAcentral. Lineage: Eukaryota; Metazoa; Arthropoda; Pycnogonida; Pantopoda; Callipallenidae.
AGUAUUAUAAGUUAAAUAAACUAUUGGUUUGAUACACCAAAAAUAGAUUAUAUCUUUUUACUA